UACGGGGGGGGCAAGCGUUGUUCGGAAUUACUGGGCGUAAAGGGCUCGUAGGCGGCCAACUAAGUCGGACGUGAAAUCCCCAGGCUCAACCUGGGAACUGCAUCCGAUACUGGAUGGCUUGAAUUCGGGAGAGGGAUGCAGAAUUCCAGGUGUAGCGGUGAAAUGCGUAGAUAUCUGGAGGAAUACCGGUGGCGAAGGCGGCAUCCUGGACCGACAUUGACGCUGAGGAGCGAAAGCGUGGGGAGCAAACAGG
Molecule: ribosomal RNA, 253 nt
Filed under: uncultured bacterium
Lineage: Bacteria
Description: partial 16S ribosomal RNA
Rfam family: Bacterial small subunit ribosomal RNA
Source: RNAcentral